CAAAAACACUGAUAUUUUUUACGCCUCACAAACCGCGACGUUGAUAUAUAUGAGUGAGAAAAAUACUCUAGUGACGUCAACAAGCACGUCAUUUCAUGUUUCAUUUGUCAUCUCCCGGCGUUCUCGAAGUCCUGGACGACCAAAUGAAUGUAAUGCGCAGAGUGAAUGGAGAGGGUUUUUCUGGGAUUUUUUAGAGGAGCCCCAGCUGGUCAAAAGAAGAACGAGAGUUGAUGAGAUUCGGCAGUCGCGAAUUGUCACGGGGGUCAUCUGAAGCUCUAGAUUAACAAAAUUAAGGUUUGUUGAAUGUUCCAACUAUAUUUAAACUUAAAUAGAAUACAUGAUAGUGUUGGGAAAGCAUUAAGAACAGUAGUACACUCCCAUCUUCGUUUGAUCUGGGCUCUUUUUGCGACGAGAUUUCUCAACUCUCCUGCCCCAGUCAAACUGACGAGAACAAGAGUUACAUGAGAGUUGACUGGAUACACUAUUAACCGUGCUGGAUAUUACCGCAUAGCGAAACCUCUCAUCGACGCUCAUCAAAUUUCCACCCAACUCAAAGUUGAUAAGAGUUGAUGAGAGUCGAUGAGAGUUGGCGGGUCAAACUGACGAGCGAGAGUUUAAAAUCUCUUAUCCUAGUUUGACUCGAUCCUUAAGCCAUGUUCACAAGAGACGUGAUUAGGAAUCAUACACAAAUUCGUCUUGUUCCAUCUGUUCACCUAGAAAUUCACACGGUCAGCUAUGUUUGAGGAGCGUCUGUGGUCAGCCGUGGGUCUGUGGUCAGCGCCAGGUUCGUGCGUCGCGCGUGUGCGUGAAAUUUGAGCACGGUUCCAGCCAUUCGCUCCCAUGUGAACGCACGAAAAACACUACAGAUUUGGCAAGCCACACCAGCCUAGACCUACGCCUUCUAUUUUUAUCUCAGAAGCAAGAAUUUCUUGGAAAUAAAAAAAACACAAAAAACUCUCUGAGUAAACGCCUUAACUAUUCAGACAUGUCGCAUUAGUAUACCGCGCUUUUAAGUUUACGACAGCCACUUGACAAUCUGAGUGACUAUCCUAAACUUCACUGAAGAGCGCGCUAUCUUCCUCAUUCCUAAAAUGAAUGACCACGACUUCUUCAUGACAGCUGCAUCUAAAAUGGAAAUCAAACGGUCUGUGCCAGUAUGAUACAAUAACACCAGAAAGCUGCGAGGGAUUCAACGGUUCAGAGGCCGCGGAAGCGUUUCGAAAGUGCUGGGGCAUUGACCAAAAGGGGCACUUUUGUAUAUGACCAAGAUCAAACGAUUUUAUGUUGAUUGCGAGCCGAACGAAAAUUUUUGAAAAUAUGGAGUCUUUAUAGCGUCAGAAAUGGCCUUUACGGAGUCUUUACUACUGCGAAAAGGGCACUUUCAUUCCAGCAAAAGAGGGCGUUCAUUCAAGAAAUACUUUUUUCGUUCUUUAAAUGAAGCACUUUAACCCAGAAAACAGGGCACUUUUUUCACUUUUGAAAAAGUGAGGGGGCAUAUGUGCCCCAUUGCCCCCCGGUUCCGCGGCCCCUGCAACAGCCUGAAAAUACCGGCAAGCCAAACUUCGACAUUUCGAACUAAAGGGACGUCGAAGUUUUAUUUGUAUAGUUGUAUUUUUCAAGUAGUUGAAACCCUCUUAUUCCACAGAUUUCUGGUGUAAAUGGAAAUGAGAUGAGCCUACGGCUACGCUUUAAUCAUUUUUCUCCAAAAUACAUCCCCACGCGCAGCUGAUCAAACGCGUAAUUGAUAUUUCACAUGUAUUACGGCAUUCCUGUUUGAGCAAGUCAUGAAUGAUUAUUUUAUCACCUUUCUAUAUAUUUAGAUAUCAGAUGAAACUGCGGUAUUAAUUUCACAUCGCGCAGUAGUCGGCAUCACACUGGAAUACAUCGAAGAAUUGUGAAACAUUUAUGUAAGCAGACAGCUUGACUAUCCUUGGCAUACUUCCUGCUUCUGAUGGUGAGGUAAGAUGCGUGAAUUAAAAUGUGUGAAAAAUGAGUUUAUAUGUAAAUGUAUUUUAAUUAUCAAGCUCUUCGCAACGGCGCAAGCUAUUUUUAUACGGCUCGUGAAUUUAAAGUCGUAUAAGGAUCAACAAGAUUUGAUUUCUAUGAUAACUCGUUUCUGAAUCAAAGAUGUAUUGUCCCGCGUCAACAGAGACCGCUUACUUGUUAGUUCUUUUGGGUAUUCCCAAACGGUGCAUGAAUAGCAGUUGAACAGCUUAAUUUUGUCGUUCAAAAUACGUGUUGGUACAGGUCCAACCUUGUUGACCCAGGACAAGUAUUGUUCAGUGCCACAGCCAUAUGUAUUUUAAUACUUUUAAACAUUAAUUUUCCUUUGCUCCACAGAACUACAAUUUUUUAUUUUCAAAUUAAUUUGAUGCUCUGGCUAAUUGUUACUGAAUAUUCAAAUUUCAAUAUUCAAAUUUUAUAUACUUAAAGAUAUGAAAUGAUGAUUUUAAGGUUAUUUGUUGUAUAAGCAGUAUUUAUUAUUAGUCAGAUACGUUUGGGCAGGCAACCCUUGGCACAUCACACGAAAUUCUAUUGUUUCUCAUUGUUUCUUUAUGAAGUCUAUGAAGAGUGCAUGACACAAGCCACGUUUAUCUCUUUAUGAAAACUAUGUAACGCUUGUAGUUAUUUGGGUUGUCACCACUAUAGAUUAACUCAUCAAAAAAUAAAAUUAGGAAACCAAUGGUCCAAAAAUAUUCAUUUCACAUUUUCGGAUAACUUACAUACCUACAUAAUUACCACUUUUAAGGUCACGUAUAAGGACAUAAUGAGUUGAAUUUGAAUUUAAUAAUCUUUUCCCAGGAGACAACCUCACCCAAAGGUGAUUUACUGGAAGAUUCUGGCUAAACAUGGGGUGUUCGGGGUCAGUAACGUAUAUAUACCAAACAAUUACCUUGCUGGCCAUGCAGAAUAGCCACGGUUCCAGUUAUGCUCGUUAACAGCAGACUACACAUGCAUGUGGUCUUUCUGUGUGACUGACAAUAUAAAUAUUUGGACCCUUGGGGCAUUUAAAGCUGUACUUCUUGACCUACACGGUCGCCACUGCAUAUAUACACCCACCUAACCUAAAAAUAUCACGGAUCAUUCUAUGACUGCAAUCUCCACAUUAAUAGGAGCAAAUUCUGUCAGUUGUGAGGAACAAAUUCUACUUUAUAAACACACACGAAUGUAUAUCCGUGUUAUUUUGCCAUGCUUCUAGCUAAGACCACGAGUUUCACGACAGUCAAUCUCAGUGUACUUAUGUGGCUCUUAUGAGCAGUACACCUGCAAUACUGGCCUAGAUAGCUAGAAGCCAUAGCCGGGUUGCUUAGGCUAUGAAAGCGUUCGACUUGACUUUCUGUUUAUUUGCGGAUAUUUCGUCUUUAGGGAAGCCUCACAUAUCGAUUUUUUCCACGAGAAACGUCAUAUGUUCGUUUGGGGGUGGGGGGGUUGGCAGCUGUGACGUUUCUCUGUAAACAUCAUGGAAAAAUUCGAUAGUUUUUAUCUUAGCAGAAUAUAAAAAAGAAAACAAUUUGAUACAAACAGCAGUCUAUAUAUUCGUAAUACCGUACCUGUUCUAUACCUAUACAUUUAUAUUAUUACGCCUUCCUUGCAUUGAAAACACUCACAUUUAAAAAAAAACGCGCUAAAAUGAUCAAUAUUUCAUGCAAAAAAAGUUGUUUUGAGAAACGUUGGAAAUUUUGAAGUUCAUACUUAUAUUAAUAAAAAAGAGUAUGUCAGCAGAAGAUGAAGCAUCGCCAAUAGCCGACCGAAAAAAAUAGUAGAAAAUUACCUUGUGUGUACUAUAAGAACAAAAUAUCGAUAACUAUGUGUGACGUUUCUAAGGGGUGGUGGUGGGGGGGGGGGUCUCCAGAGAAACGAACAUAUGACGUUUCUCGUGGACAAAAUCGAUAUGUGAGGCUUCCCUUACUGAAAGCUAGAAUACAAAUUAGUAUGUUGAUUUUGGUAAUUAUAUGUCACCACUUGGGCGUAGUGCAAUGGGAUACUACUGAUACUACUCACGCGUGGUUUUAAAGACCUGUAAACCGAAGUACAUAAUUAUGGCGCCAAUACGGGAAACUUCAAUUCACAUUUAAAGAUAAUUAGUUCUACAAGUUUCCGAAGGUUUGGACAAGUUUUUAGCCAAUUUAUUCUUCUAUUUUAAUGCACAAAUUGUCCUAACUUCGAACAGCUUACAGUUGAUCUUAAAAUACGACUUGAAGUUAGCGGUUACCGAUCUGCUGUAAACGUCAAUCUUGACCUCUCUAAUCUGUUGUUUCAACCUAUGCGAGAGAUAUUAGUGUCAAAAACAAAAAACUAUGAUUUAUGUGCCAUAAAAUACUUUAGCCCACAUUGCGGAUUAGCUAUUUCCUUGCCAGAAUUCAUUAAUAUAUAUCUGUUUAUUAUCUGUUCUCAACGUUUUUUUCAAUACAUGCGGGCAAAUGUUAUGUUCCCACAGUUCUCAGAAAACAUUAGCACAGAUUCAGCUAUUAGUUUCAUUGUGCGCAUCUUAUGAGCGCUGGACACGAAAGUCAAGGUUAACAUCACAAGCGCAGAAGCCCUGGGUGAAUGGUUUUUGAUUGGCUGUCUGUUAGAGAUACAGUAGGCAGAGGCUUACUUUUUUUGCUGUUACCAAAAACGAUCAAAAACGGUGACAACAAAAAAACCGGUAACACUUUCGGAGUUCAUUAUCAGUUAAACUCCUUAUAAUUACAGCGUAGCCAGCAUCAACCUACCGUCGACCUAAACCCUAUGAUCGAACACAAUUACACUGAACCCUUGGCAUCGCUUCUACAAUGAGAACAUUUGAUUUUUACUUUUUGUAACAAUAGAAGACUGGUCCGCAAGCAUAUAUUUAGAGCAAUAGAGGGAACAUAAAAGUGCAUAAAUUAAAAAGGGUUAAAAUGAACUCAAAAGAAUCGUUCUGGGGUCAAAUUUUACAGUGCAUAAUUAUAAAAUAAUAUAUACCUUAAUUAAUAUUGUACUAAAAGCCGAGACACACCGGACGCGAUUCGACAACGCGUCGCGAUUUUUCAAUUUUUGAAAGUUAAUAAAACAGCCAAUGAAAGGAAAUUUUAAAAGAUAUGUGGACCAAAUAACUCAAAAUGUUAUAGCGCUUCUAAAUAUUUGAAAAACUUGAACCAGGACCAAAGUUAUCGGUCAGUGAAAAUCGAAAAAUCGCGCUGCGUUGUCGAAUCGCAUCCGGUCUGGUUUGGCCUCUGGGCCUUUAAGAUGGCAGAUAAUGCCGUGACUUGUUUACAAUGAAAAUUUUGUCGUAUUCAUAAAUUUUUAAUUGUUACUUUCUAUAUAUAAUAUUUCCAUGACGUGCCAAUUAAUAAUAUCGUUAGAUAGAGUGAUAUUCAUCAUCAUAACAAAAUACCGACAAAAAAGAAAAUUGAAAUAAGACAACCAGUUUAUGCAAUCAUCAACAUAAUGUCGAAAGCACCUGAAUCAUAAAUACGUAAUGACAAAUUAACAGCACAAACUAUGCCGAAAUUUUUUAAGGAAUUCACCGAAAGCGAGAAAUAAUGGAACACACGCGGUGCUUAGUUUUGGAUUUCUUUAAUCAAUAAUUAAAUCUCGUCGGUUAUAAUUUCGACUCGUACUGUACAACAUUAUAAAAUAACGAACAGAGAUCGCUAAACUGUUGUGUAAUCUACAUGCUCCUGGAAAGCGUUUAUAUAAAAGGUGCAAAGAAAAAGUCGAAAAUCUGAGGUGAGAUCCAAUACAUCUUUUGUCAUUGACCUUGUGUUUGCAAACAUUUGGAAGCAAUGUGUGGAUUAUUCACACUUCCUCAUAUAAGUGGCCAAUACCGAUUCGAAGUUUAUCGUGUAAAGUGUGGGUUCACUAGAAAUGGGGCUCUGCAACACAUGUGGUCGAUGACUCUAAAAGGAAAAAUAGUCAUUUUGAUGGCUAAUUGUUUAUCUAUACAUGUAACAUGUUGAUCUUGUGUUUGCCUGCAAAUGCAUGUAAUGACAACAUUUAGCCGUCAUUUGCCCAUUUAAACAACAUGUAACAACCGAUUUGAGGUUCGCGCAACAUCAUAUAAAACAUGACUUCUUUUAAAUUGUAACGGUUGCGAACACGCAAGGUGGUUGAUCAAAUAGAAUACCGAUGUAGCCUACUUCUGUAAUUAUUAAAUUGAGAUUUGCAUAUUGCACACAAAAGAUCCCGCAAAGGACAAGAUCCGAUGGCGAUGCUGACUUUACAUCGUCGAACAUAUAACGAGGUCAAGUUUAGCUAUACAGAGGAAAUUUUAAUACGACCUGGUAAUUUUCAUUUACGAGAGCCGAAGUUGUUUUCUACGUGGCCAUAAAUGGCAACCAUCUUCACUCUUUCAAUUAAAGUGAGAUCGCAAUCCGCCCGCAAACUUACACUUAGUACGUGUAGUGAUGAAAGGCGUGCAAAAACUUGAUUAUUUUGUCAUCUGUUUGCUUAUUACGUUAAUUAUAAAUAUUCAAAAUACUUUGGGGAAAUUCAAUUUAAACAUUUGUAAACAUAUUGCAUUGAUGGCAUAUGUCAGUCUGUUUGAAAAUGCUGUAUGAAACGUAAUACGAAUCUCCGAAAUGUUUAUACACGUUCAUGGACAUGGACAAGACACCCAAUAUCAAAUCCUCAUGCAACAGACACCCAAUAUCAAAACCUGAAAACCUCAUGCAUAAAAUAUACCUUACUUAGAAUGCUGCCACUUAACUAGUUAACACAUUAUAAAUAAACAAACACUUCUCUAGAGUAAAGUUAUAAACUUCGUUUUGAUCAGAUAUCGGCUAUGGCUUAUCGGAAGCUUAAGGCAGAUUUACACCACACGACUUUUGCCUAAAACUGUUGCAUGUAACCUGCUUAUAACUUGAAUUCUACUGUGUAUAUUUCAAGCACACAACAGAUUGCAUGGGACAGUUUUCCGCAAAAGUUCAGUAGUGUAAAUCGGUCUUUAGCUGGCUGAUUCCAUCCCACGGUACGACUACGUUGCCGUAGGUGAAAUUGUAGGGAGCUUUAGAUUUGACUACGAGUACGAGAUUUGAUCGCGUGCGAGGAAAUUACCGUAGUCGUUUUCGCUUCCAUUCAAAUGUUGCUUUUAUAGCAGUAGACCAACAACGAGAGAAAAAGUUUCAUAAACUAAAUCUCCUGCAGACUAAAAUCCUCUCGAAAACGUGUAAAUAAGUCCUAACAUUAAAAACAGGCCAGAUAUUUAGUACUAUAAUAUAUUAUUUGCGCCGGAUAAACGCUAUAUAAGUGCUACAAAUUAUUUUUGGUAAACCAAAAAAAAGCCAACUUUCUUUUUUUUUAAAGUCGUCGUAAGGACUACGAGAUUUCUCCACAAUUUCGUGCUCAGAUGGGCGACGGCUACGACUUUUUCGCGUCAGUACGGGAUGGCGUAAGCAUACAGCAUGCGUUAAUUCGCUUGACGAAUCUCGUGCUCGUAGUCAAAUCUAAAGCUCCCUAUGUGUUGCAUGCGACAGUUUUGGACCGUUUUGCGCAAAUGUUGGGCAGUUUGAAUCGGCCUUUACCCAGUCUCCGCGCGCAUGUGCAAACAGAUUUCAUGUCAGUCGUUAGGCCCAUGCAUAUUCUCUUGUACCAUGCAUGAUGUUUCAGGGCGACUUGCGCAAGGAUCGACUCAUAUUUAUUAAAUUAAUAUAGAUCAGUGAAUCGCACCAUACACAAAUUACAUUUGAAUUCCCACAAAUAUGCCGUUGACAACCUGUUAAUGCAUUUUACGUCAUACUAUCCGAAGGUUCGGGAUAAGAAUGGCUUAUGUCUUUCAAGGCUUUAAUUUUCUCUUUAAAUAAAAAAUCCACUCAAAAUGAAAAGUUCACAACUAUAUUAUAUGGAUCUGCUUGUUGAUCUGUGAAAAACAAUUAAAUUGCUACCAGAAUACGAAACAAUUCUACGAAUUUUUCCACAAGACGACCAAACAUGCAUGCCUUUGUUUAAAGCAAUAUAUAGCUUCUAUGAUUUUUCCCCGCGGGCGAAAUUCCAUUUUGCAGAGCCAGCUGGGUAGAUAGCUUCGGCUUAAGCUUUUGCUUAAACCGUUUAUGCAUGGGAAACUCAAUGGAUUAAAAAGGGAUAGUUUUUUCAUACUAAGAUUUAUUGUUUUAUUAAUCAGUAAUUUGUCAAAAAAAUUUGAAGUUCGAGAAACGCGCAUAAGUGCUGUGUGUAUUUCAUCACUCGAAUAUUUAUGCACUGCGAAACUAAUCUCUUUAAGGAUAUGUAAUUAUGGUAACAGAUGUCAAAUACAGAUGACAAAUUCAUGAUUAUUUUUUUAUCUAGGUUUGUCUUGCAAAGAGGGAAGGGUACUUUGUGUCAUUACACGUUAAAGUGCGCUUAAAUACACUACAAAGAGAAGACGGAAUCCUCAGAAUCCUCUGAAGUAAGUGGAUACGCCUAUAUACAAAUAAAUAAUCUUCCAAAUUCGAGUCCAAAUUAACCUUUGUCUUACGUACUUGCAUGAUCGGAUCGAUUGAAGUACACGACCCCAUAGGUUAGCGCUCUAUUGAACUGUUUCGCUCUCCCUUAGAAAAUCAUUUUUGACCUCGCGGUGACAACCCAAUUGAACAAUUCAUGACGUUGUCCUGGACAAAAGUUCAAUACAGCGCUAAUUUAUUGAAGGUCUCCAAUUUGCGGUUAUAGGUGAUUUGCUAUUUGGGCGAAAUCGUUUGAAAUGUAAGUAGCUGUAUCCAUUUUCUCAAUUAACUCUUGCCUUCUUGCAUCAGUUACCAUGCAGAGCGUCAUCCAUAGAAAUUGAUCAAUUUCGUAUAAAUAUAUACAGAUGACAAAAUAUUGAUUGAUAGCACUGAACAUAAAUUACUGGCUUGUUUGUUUGUGUUAUUGUUUUGCAGCAUAGUCUGUCAAGAUAUGAUGGUCAAGAAGCCCGGCAACUGACUCAAAGCCACAAAACAGAAGAGCUUUGUUUGAUGUUGAAUUGUGCCUCACCGUGCACAAAUCCUUUGUCUCAACUUCAUUAAAUAUUAUUCAUCGUGGUUAUAUGGUAUCCCUAUUGAACGACCAUACAACGAGCUCAAUCACUUUGUCUUCAAUGCGCAAAUUAAUAUAAACGCAGACAAAAACAUAUAACACAACGACUUCUGUUUAGUUUCUAGAUCAUCCUAUCCGUUGAUAGACGAUGUUUAUAGGUACUAAAACUGUCUGUACCAGUGUAGGUAGUACCAAUGUAGAAAUGCUGUGCUCUACUAACUCUUGACGAAGGGCCUUCGCUCGAAACGUCGAGUUUCUGCUUAUUUUUUAAGGUAGUAAUAUAACCACUCAGCACAGCAUUAUGUUUGUAGGUAGUUGUCAUAUAUAUACACACUAUAUAUUCGCUGUUAUGCGCUAACUUCUAAUUUUCGAUGUGCUGUUUAUCAAAUCAGCCUACUGUUGCCUACUUCGCGAGUUUCUUCAUAAAAUAGCAUGAGUUCUGGGUUCAUGUAAGCUUCUGCGGAGGAGAGAGAACAAGACAACAUGAGCCGACAACACAGAGGCCUGGUUAAAAUGUCGACCAUAACAGCAAAAUUCUAGACUUUUCCAAUUAGUACGUUCCUUAUCCCCAAAAUACUCGAGGCUUUGUAAGUGCUUACUCAUAUAUAAAAAACAUCCAAAGGUUAAUAGCCAUGGGCAAAUUUGCCAUUUACAUCUUAGCAACGAUGUAAAUAAUUUUGUUGUUUACAUCGUUGCUGCGCAAUUCACAACAGCUUUAGAUAACUGUCUUGCCUACAUGGACGUAGCGAUCGACAAGUGUAGGAUACUAGGAGGGAGGAUAUAACCCCCGCCUUACCCCCCCCCCCAAUAUUUGUUGCUGGGUCAUUUCAGGUAGAUUUCUAGGUAAUUUAAUUAAGCUGAUUUUCAGGUAAAUUGUGAGCAUUGACAAGCAAACGUGGACGUUAAACAGGAGAGCAAGCUAAGAGUGCCAAAUUUUAGUUGCAUUUUCGGGCUUUCGAAUUCCGAGGGUCUAAAUCUUCAAAAAUAUUUCGGGGGAGCAUCCCUCCCCCCAACCCCCUAGUAGAUUUAGCCCCGUAUCCAUUAUGCUAAUAUAUUCUUCAUCGAAAAAAACACCUGCUACUUUUGAAUGUACACAUGAAAAAAUUACAAGCUGGCUAACUAAAUUUGAAAAACUACUUAAAAAAUCAGGUAAUUUGGACUCUGCAUAAGAUGAAACGUGUAACCAGGAUGAAUAAUAUUUAAUGAAGUUGAGACAAAGGAUUUCGGCACGGUGAGGUAUAGUUCAACAUCAAACAAAGCUCUUCUGUUUUGUAGCUUUGACCAUCCUAUCUUGACAGAUGUUGUUAGAAUAGAAGGACAGAAAAAGAGUAUUAGGAUGUCAGGGCUCUUUCAUAUUAUUUAAUGCCAGCAAGGAAAAUUUAUAUAUUAUAUGCCUGCAAAAAUGCAUCGUAUAUUUUAGGUUUUGGGAGCUAAAUUUUACCGAGAAUUUAAAAUGUGUAAUUUCACUUUGUAUAUUUAAUUUUUUAAUUUGGCAAUGACUAUAAUGAUUGUAUCGAACGGCUUGAAAUAUUUUAGUCAGUAUAGAUUGCGCACUUUCUAUAUGCCCAAACCCGUGUGUAGUUCUUGGACUAAAUUUCGCCAAGAUUGUUAUUGAUCAUGUUUUCUAUUUCACUGCUCCAACAAAAUGAGUUGAAUAGCAAGAUUCCCAGAUUGAGUGAAAACACUGGCAACGGGAAGUGAUGUACAUUUGAUAAACGCGGUACUUGAUAUGCGUUCGCAUGAUGGGCUUACAUAAAGCCAAACAUUCUCGAAACGGAUUUGAUUGCAAUCUAAAAUAAGUUGUCUGCUUUCUCAUUAUCAAUCUUGAAGGCUCGAAGCGGUCUGUUAGUAUUUAGUUAGUAGUCCAGCUAUUUUUUGAAACGAUGACAAUCGGUCAUAGAUCACUCUUACGUCGUUAUCCAAACUGCCCCCGCGGGUUUAAUUUACCCCCGACUGGAUCUCUUUUAUUCAUGGCCUAUUGUCCGAAAUUGUUUGUUUACUUUUUCAUUAGAUCUGAUCACCGCUAGCGAUCGUCUUUGUGCUUUCUAAAAUAUGUAUGUCUAAUAUAUUCAACUCCUAUAUUAAUACAACACAGAAUAGAGACCUUACUGAAUUUGUUUACUUUUUCAUUAAAUCUUCACCGCUAGCGAUCGUCUUUGUGCUUUCUAAAAUAUGUAUGUCUAAUAUAUUCAACUCCUAUAUUAAUAUAACACAGAAUAGAGACCUUACUGAAGGCCGACUUCUUGGUUUUGCCAUGAUUUCGGCGUUAACCGUUCUUACGAGACUCGAGGCAUUCAUCCCCCUGAAAAUAUUCAAAAUAUAGUGAAUGUUCGGGGGGGAGGGGGCGUGAAUGCCUCAGUAAACGUACUGACUAGGAACAUGGCAAGUGCAUUUUGAUGACGAAUCAUGGUGUGGAGCAUAGAGAUUAUAAAUAACACAUGAAGGCCGAUACUCCACUACAUUUUACACAAAAAAAGUUUAUACCUGUAUUAAUUUAUUAAAGUGCCUAUGACACGAAAUUUCACCCCAAAUGUUUAUGGUUGUAUUGAGCACCAUGCACCAAAGGUGUGUGACUUUCUAUGGGGGUCCGUAGAUUCACUGAAAUAUAUAGUGUUCUAUGGUGUGGUAGCGGUUGCGAUUUUUUUGGAAAGUGAUUUUUAUAUAUGAGUCAUAUCUAGCAACUGCAAGUUAAUUAACGUCCACAAAACAUACAGAAGGGAUUUCUUAGAAAUUAACUUUUUGCCUUUUUAAAGUCUGUAAAGAUCUGGUAUGAACAUAAUGAUAUAGGGGUUGUUGAAAUGAGCUGCAGGGAAUUGCAGCCCGGCCAGCAGGGUGAAUUGUGUCACGAAAUUUUUUGAAUGAACUUUAUACUAUUCUUGGAAUCAAACUAAGCUAAUUCAACUUUGAAAUGUCAAUUUAAAUGUUUGUCAAAGCCGUGAUAAGCUUUAUUAAACUAAUCAUCCCGCUCAACCGUGUCAGCUCCAUAUAGGAACAGCCCGUUAGUAGAGACGAGAUGAGAAAAGGUAUAAAAUCUAAAACCUUUUUGUGCAUGUGCAAGAGAAUACGUAGGAAGGCAUUUGUUGUUUUGUAUUCCUUUAAUUGUGAGACGUCCAGAAGGUCGAAGGAAGACGAAGGAUAAGAUGGCGUGAUACUGUGAGAUCUGAGAGAUUUAAUAUAUUAGCUGGGCCUGGGUUCAUCAAAGUCACGUUAAUUUUUAGUGUUAAUGGACAUUUCUACUAUAUCAACAAAGCAAAAAUGAGCUAUUCUAUAUGGCGCAUAUUUCCAAUAUUAGGCUUUCUUAAUUAUAGUAGUGAAAACAAAUUAAUAUAAAAUUUUAAUUAACAUUUCUACUAUAUCAUCAAAGCAAAAAUGAGCUUUUCUACAUCGUGUAUAUAUAUUUAUCUGCAUGUAUUGGGCUUCUCUUCCAUAAACGCUUGACUUCUACACUUGAAAUUUUGACUGUAGGUUAUUUUUUGCACUUGUCUUCAAAUUUUGACAGUAGGAAAUGUUUUCUUGUAAGUUUUUUCGAUUUCAAUAUGUGAUAGUUAAAUUAACUGUCGUGUAUCGUUUUCGGUUAACCAGAUAUGCAAAUAUGUUAUACAUAUGUUUUAACAUUGAUUAAAAGGCAAAAUUAGAAAUAUUUGGAGAAAAUAAUAUUGUUUCUAAGCAUCCCAAAUUCAUGAUGAGGAUACUACCUGGCAGUACCUGCAUGUACUACUAACGAAACCGAAUUAAUUUGAAUGAAAGAGAUUAAGAGAAAAGUUGUAUUUUAUAACUCUCUCGAGCUUUGUGAUUAUCUGCAGUUAUUGAACAACAUGUUUUAUUUAUAGUGUGUAGUACAUGUUAUCGUAUUUUAUCGGCAACUGAUGUAAUUAAAUUAUCUUUCCUGUUAGAAAAAGUCAUAACAUUCGCCAUAUGUGUCAAACGUCACAAUGGUAUCUUGGAAAAUCAGGAAUGCGAUUAUGGACCGAUGUGCAAAUGGUUGGACAGUGCAUGCAAAUACUGAUAAAUGGAACGAAUAAUGUCAAAUAAUUCUACUCAAGUCAUCAUCUGUUUUUACAGCGAACGUUUUUAUCCAAACAAAACGCUCUUGUUUAUGUUAUUCCAUUCCGUGAUCUUUACGACUUCAGAUUGUUCUAAUUUCAAUUAGAAUCAUCUGAAUUCAUUCUAAUUUCAAUCAAAAUGGUUUUCUAAUUCCAAUUUAGAACAUUUCUUAGUUUAUAAUUCUAAUCAGAAGGUUCUUCAUUUUAUUGUCAUUCCAAUGAGAAUGCUUUUCUGUUCUUUCUAAUGUUCAUGACAUGAUAUGACGCCCAAACGCCACUUUUCAGUAAUCAUGUUCCAGAAUCCAGUUUUUUUUUGAUAGCACAACCCUCGCAAUGCUAAUUACUUUUGUUCUCUUUGCAGGUGAUGUUAGAACAGUCACGGGCGUCUUGAACGGACCUCUCAAAUUCUCAUCCAAGAAGUAAUUUCACGAAGCUUGAAGAAGCAGGUA
Molecule: non-coding RNA, 13444 nt
Organism: Paramuricea clavata
Lineage: Eukaryota; Metazoa; Cnidaria; Anthozoa; Malacalcyonacea; Plexauridae
Source: the annotation of a GenBank genome assembly